RNAcentral lists this ribosomal RNA (253 nucleotides) under uncultured prokaryote. RNAcentral describes it as "partial 16S ribosomal RNA". It matches the Rfam family "Bacterial small subunit ribosomal RNA", at positions 524 to 776 of the family's 1533-position model. The record is from RNAcentral.
UACAGAGGUCCCAAGCGUUGUUCGGAUUCACUGGGCGUAAAGGGUGCGUAGGUGGCCAGGUAAGUUCGGUGUGAAAGCUCGGAGCUUAACUCCGAAAUGGCAUUGAAUACUAUCUGGCUGGAGGGUCGGAGGGGAGACUGGAAUUCUCGGUGUAGCAGUGAAAUGCGUAGAUAUCAGGAGGAACACCGGUGGCGAAAGCGCCUAUCUGGCCCAAUACUGACGCUGAUGCGCGAAAGCUAGGGGAGCAAACGGG